Molecule: ribosomal RNA, 253 nt
Filed under: uncultured bacterium
Lineage: Bacteria
Description: partial 16S ribosomal RNA
Rfam family: Bacterial small subunit ribosomal RNA
Source: RNAcentral
UACGGAGGGAGCUAGCGUUGUUCGGAAAUACUGGGCGUAAAGCGCACGUAGGCGGCGCAGCAAGUCAGGGGUGAAAUCCCGGGGCUCAACCCCGGAACUGCCCUUGAAACUGCAGUGCUAGAAUCUUGGAGAGGCGAGUGGAAUUCCGAGUGUAGAGGUGAAAUUCGUAGAUAUUCGGAAGAACACCAGUGGCGAAGGCGGCUCACUGGACUGGUAUUGACGCUGAGGUGCGAAAGCGUGGGGAGCAAACAGG